Molecule: ribosomal RNA, 460 nt
Filed under: uncultured bacterium
Lineage: Bacteria
Description: partial 16S ribosomal RNA
Rfam family: Bacterial small subunit ribosomal RNA
Source: RNAcentral
CCUACGGGCGGCAGCAGUGAGGAAUAUUGGUCAAUGGACGUAAGUCUGAACCAGCCAAGUCGCGUGCAGGAAGACGGCUCUAUGGGUUGUAAACUUCUUUUGUAUGAGAGUAAAGCUGACUACGUGUAUUCAUUUGCAUGUACUCUAUGAAUAAGCAUCGGCUAACUCCGUGCCAGCAGCCGCGGUAAUACGGAGGAUCCAAGCGUUAUCCGGAUUUAUUGGGUUUAAAGGGUGCGUAGGUGGUUUGUUAAGUUAGAGGUGAAAGGUUGUAGCUCAACCCUAAAAUUGCCGCUGAUACUGGAAGACUUGAGUGUAGUUGAGGUAGGCGGAAUGCGUGGUGUAGCGGUGAAAUGCAUAGAGAUCACGCAGAACACCGAUUGCGAAGGCAGCUUACUAAGCUAUAACUGACGUUGAGGCACGAAAGCGUGGGGAUCAAACAGGAUUAGAUACCCGAGUAGUC